RNAcentral lists this non-coding RNA (232 nucleotides) under Megaselia scalaris. RNAcentral describes it as "Eukaryotic small subunit ribosomal RNA". It matches the Rfam family "Eukaryotic small subunit ribosomal RNA", at positions 733 to 973 of the family's 1831-position model. The record is from Rfam by way of RNAcentral. Lineage: Eukaryota; Metazoa; Arthropoda; Insecta; Diptera; Phoridae.
UUGUUGUGGCCCGGUACAAUUACCUUGAACAAAUUUGAAUAGGAUUUGAAUACCUGAAUAUUUGUGUAUGGAAUAAUGGAAUUGGACCUCUGUUCUACUUUUAUAUAGAUCAAGAGGUAAUGAUUAAUAGAAUCAGUUUGGGGGCAUUAGUAUUACGACGGGAGAGGUAAAAUUCUUAGAUUGUCGUAAGAAGAGAUCGAGAGGUCCGAGUAAACCCCUAAACCACUUUCUU